CAGAACGAACGUUGGCGGCGUGGAUUAGGCAUGCAAGUCGAACGAGAAAGCGUCCUUCGGGACGUGAGUACAGUGGCGAACGGGUGAGUAACGGGUGGGAAACCUGCCUUGGUGUGGGGGAUAACAUUCCUAACGGGAUGCUAAUACCGCAUGUUUCGAGGAGUCGUAUGGCUCCUGGGAAAGCGGGGCCUCUCAUGUAAGCUCGUGCUCGAUGAUGGUUCCGCGUCCCAUUAGCUUGUUGGUGGGGUAAAGGCCUACCAAGGCAACGAUGGGUAGCCGGCCUGAGAGGGUGUCCGGCCUCACUGGGACUGAGAUACGGCCCAGACUCCUACGGGAGGCAGCAGUCGAGAAGCUUCGGCAAUGGGCGAAAGCCUGACCGAGCGACGCCGCGUGAGCGAUGAAGGCCCUUGUGGUUGUAAAGCUCUGUCAGGAGGGAAUAAAGCACCAUGACUAAUACUUGUGGUGUCUGAAGGUACCUCCAAAGGAAGCACCGGCUAACUCCGUGCCAGCAGCCGCGGUAAUACGGAGGGUGCAAACGUUGUUCGGAUUUACUGGGUGUAAAGGGUGCGUAGGCGGCCUUGUGUGUCGGAGGUGAAAUUCAGUGGCUCAACCACUGAACUGCCCCCGAAACUGCAGGGCUUGAGUCCGUGAGAGGUAGGUGGAAUUCCUGGUGUAACGGUGAAAUGUGCAGAUAUCAGGAAGAACACCCGUGGCGAAGGCGACCUACUGGUGCGGAACUGACGCUGAGGCACGAAAGCUAGGGUAUCGAACGGGAUUAGAUACCCCGGUAGUCCUAGCCGUAAACGAUGUCUACUAGGUGUCGGGGGUUCUACCCCUUCGGCGCCGCCGCUAACGCAUUAAGUAGACCACCUGGGGAGUACGAUCGCAAGGUUGAAACUCAAAGGAAUUGACGGGGGCCCGCACAAGCGGUGGAGGCCUGUGCGUUAUUCGAUUGCACGCGAAAACCUUACCUGGCCUGACCUGCCCGGGACGGGGUGUGGAGAUCCGCCCCUUCUUCGGACUCCUGUACAGGUGCUGCAUGGCUGUCGUCAGCUCGUGUCGUGAAAUGUUGUGGUUAAGCUCCCGCAACGAGCGCAACCCUUGUCCUUAGUUGCCACACGUAAUGGUGGGAACUCUAGGGAGACUGCCGGUGACAAACCGGAGGAAGGUGGGGAUGACGUCAAGUCAUCAUGGCCCUUACGUCCCGGGCUACACACGUGCUACAAUGGCUUGUACAAAGGGUUGCGAACCCGCGAGGGGGAGCCAAUCCCAAAAACAAGCCUCAGUUCGGAUUGUAGUCUGCAACUCGACUACAUGAAGUCGGAAUCGCUAGUAAUCGUGGAUCAGCAUGCCACGGUGAAUCCGUUCCCGGGCCUUGUACACACCGCCCGUCAAGUCAGCCGAAUUGGUUGCACCCGAAGUCGUUGAGCC
This 1431-nucleotide ribosomal RNA is filed under the name uncultured prokaryote. RNAcentral's name for it is "partial 16S ribosomal RNA". It matches the Rfam family "Bacterial small subunit ribosomal RNA". The record is from RNAcentral.